RNAcentral lists this ribosomal RNA (425 nucleotides) under uncultured bacterium. RNAcentral describes it as "partial 16S ribosomal RNA". It matches the Rfam family "Bacterial small subunit ribosomal RNA", at positions 355 to 769 of the family's 1533-position model. The record is from RNAcentral.
UGGGGAAUUUUGGGACAAUGGGGCGAAAGCCUGAUCCAGCAAUGCCGCGUGUGUGAAGAAAGCCUUCGGGUUGUAAAGCACUUUUGUCCGGAAAGAAAUCCUUGGCUCUAAUACAGUCGGGGGAUGACGGUACCGGAAGAAUAAGCACCGGCUAACUACGUGCCAGCAGCCGCGGUAAUACGUAGGGUGCAAGCGUUAAUCGGAAUUACUGGGCGUAAAGCGUGCGCAGGCGGUUGCUAAGACCGAUGUGAAAUCCCGGGCUCAACCUGGGAACUGCAUUGGUGACUGGCAGGCUAGAGUAUGGCAGAGGGGGGUAGAAUUCCACGUGUGAGCAGUGAAAGUGCGUAGAGAUGUGGAGGAAUACCGAUGGCGAAGGCAGCCCCCUGGGCCAAUACUGACGCUCAUGCACGAAAGCGUGGGGGAGC